GCUACUUGGACACUACAGUUUGAUGUCCGAUCACGUGGCCUUCCUUCCCAAUCACUUAUUGAAGUAUAAUAUAGGGGAGGAUCAGCAGAUUAAUGAAAACUCACCGCAGGAAACAAGCACAGCCACGUGACUUAGGUUGCUUUGUAGAAAUCCAUUUAAGUUCAGUGAUCAAAUUUCAGACACGUCAGACUUUCUUAAUUCAAACGUUUGCUGCGUAAUUUGCUUCAUCGUUCAGUAAGCAGACCGGAUUCACAUGAAAUACUCGAGCUCGUGAGCAGCGUGUUUUCCACGCGCCCUUUAUCAUCAAAAUGGAGGAUCUCCAUUGAGGAGAACGGAAGGAACCAAGAUUUCCCUUGUGACCUUAGUGUAAACAUGAAGAGAAGAAAAGAAAAGCAAAGCAAGCAGUAGAAGGCCCUCUCUCCAAGCGCCUCCUCAUUGUUGAAGAUGAUCAACUUCUCGGAAACUUCGGCAGGAUUUCGUGCUGUGGCGUCGUAUUUGACAACUAUUAAGAAAAUAAAAUUAAAAGCUGAGAAACCAGUACAGUCCUACCGCCUAAAGUUAUGUUAGAUGGAGAGUGUGACCUCGUGCAAAUCGUUGUGUUGUUUUUAAGUUGCAGGUGGCCUUCAACACAACGUGUUUAAAGGGGGAGGGGAGUUACAAUUAAACACAAGACUUGUUGGUGUAAAAAAAAAAAUUUGAACGACAAAAGUGUAGCCUACUAAACACACAAAGUCUUCAAACAGACUUGUGUCCAAAUAUCCGCAUGUACGCUACUACACUAGUGUGUUUAAAAUAGUGUAGAUAGCAUUCUGACAAGGCUGGUACUGAGCAGCUUCCUGAAAUAUCCAGGAUUUGACUGACUGAAUUUGUCCAAAGUUAGGGAAUGUUGCUGUGAAUCCACUUUGGGUCCCCAGUA
This is a long non-coding RNA of Ictalurus punctatus (channel catfish), 916 nucleotides long. The record is from Ensembl. Lineage: Eukaryota; Metazoa; Chordata; Actinopteri; Siluriformes; Ictaluridae.